UGAGCUCAGUAGAGACGUUUGACUGUCCCAACCCGAUGCUGCCUUCCCACAUAAAUGAGAUCUUUUCUGCCAGGCGACAUGGUUUUACCCUCACAUUCAAAAAAACCCUUAAUCUCUAAUGUGGAGCAGCUGAUCCUGGGCCAGAAUCGCUGGGAGAUAGGCCAUGGCCAGGAUAUGUUUCCAGCAGAGAAGCUCUGCCAUCUGCAGGAUCGCAAGGUGAACCUUCACACAGCUGCCUGGGGUGAGUGUAUUGUUGCACCCAAGACUCUCAGCUUCUCUUACUGUCAGAGGAACUGCCCAGCCCUCAACAGUGAGCUCUGUCAUUCCAGCUUUGAGUGCUAUAAGAGGGCAGUACCUACCUGUCCCUGGCUCUUCCAGACCUGCCGUCCCACCACAGUCAGACUCUUCUCCCUGAUGGUCCAGGAUGACGAACACAAGAUGAGUGUGCACUAUGUGAACACUUUCUUGGUGGAGAAGUGUGGCUGCUCUUGAGAUACCCCAAAGCCUCCUACUGGCCUCAGGGCCACCUAAGUCUCAGGACUUUAGUAGGGGGUGGGAUUACUUUUCAUAGCAACUAGAGCUCUUUGAAGGGAGGUGGGAUUUGGUUUGUUUCUCAAAGCACAGCAAGAAGGUUGGCAUUAUGGCAGUAACCCCUCAUAGAUGCUUCUCUUUGAUGUGGCAGGGGCCCCCUAGUGCUGUUCUCAGUCACUCCUACUACUGGGAAGCUGGGCCCAUUGAGAUGUCUGACUAUCGCUGUCCUAGAUUGUGAGUGGGCUGGGCUUAGUGCCACCUCUGGGAUCAUUUAGGUGGGGAAAGAGGAACUGGAAUUGGACGCAUGUCAGCUCUUGGGGGUAGGGGUAAAAUUGUUACCGGUGUUAAGCUGGCUUCAGACUCUUCUGAGCCAUUCAGCUGCUAUCAUCCUUCUCUGUACCAUUGGCCUGGGGCUGGUCCAGAACUGACCUCAGCAUGUACAUUCCUCCUCACCUAACACUCCUGGCCUCUUUAGAGGGAGUGAGGACUCUGUGGAAGAAAGCAUUCUGUCAUGGGCUAGUCAUGGGUAAAGGGCCCCAAGGCCUUCACAACCUGGUGUCAGAUGGGAGCCUGAGAGUAGAGGAUGUUGCUUGACUGACAGAGGGGGCCUCUGGCCUCAUGGAAAGUUUGUCUCACUAUCAUUUAAGGAACUUGAUAUUAGCUUUUCUACUAUCUUUAAUAAAACUAUAGGACCAUUGUUGUGGGUCUCUUAUGUUGGAUAUCUAUUACUUAAUGCCCUUGAGCCUCUGAAUCAGAAUGAGUAGAUAGAUGUUGGGUUUCAAAUCCUAUCGUCAAGGAUCGCAGGAAAGAAGCAACGCAAUGCACUUUGAAACAAAUAUUCAGUCAUUAUAGCACUCACUCAAUGACUCCUAGUUUUAGGUUCCAAAACGUACGUCCAAAGUAAGAUAUAAGGAAGUACUCCAACGCAGAUAUUAAUACCAAAACUACUUGUUAGAUUUCUUGAGGCAGAAGAGAAACAAAGUUAGAUGACACUCAGAACCUUAGUAACAUGCUAUCUGUCCUAGUGGGAGGAGGAGUAUAUCAGUUAAAUUUACAAUUUUAAAAUGUGACUUUCUCAGUGGACAUUCAUAGUUCACAUUAGCCUGCACCUUGCAGAGUAUCCCUGUAGAAUGAUGGUCAGGGUGAGGGCUGAGCAUAGAGGAGGCAGAGAGCCAUCCCUGGCUCUUGACUUUCCCAAGCUCGGUCUUGGCUGUGUGGUGGAUUUCAAGAAAUAAGGAUGAACUACUGUCUUUUUUGAUUCCUUUCUUUAUAUCUCUGCAACGGAAGUUCUGACAAAUUUAUGCAAGUGGUUUGUGCUUUUAAGUUUAAUAGCAAUGUAUGCAAUAUGAGAAGCUGACUUUCCAGCCCCAAUCCUAAACAAAGGUAGUGACUGUCAGGUUUGACAUGUACUCUGCCAGACUGCUUUCUUUGUAUAUUAACAUAGCCUUAAAACGACCCUAUAGCUCCUUAACAAGGUGUUGUGGAGACAUUUCAAGAUCCUAACACUUUUUUUUUUCCCCAUGGACAUUAGCUUGUAUACAGUAUUUAAAUAGUUCAAUACCCAUUUAACUGAUUCCCUUAUUGAUGGACAUUCAAAGAGGGCAUUUUAAAGUUACCCAUUAUUACAGUGCUGUGAUCAUCUUUGAAUAUAGAUUCUUAUAUGCAGGUAGAAUUGCUAAGAAAAUGUCAGAUGCAAUUUGGUCUCCCCAAAAACUAUGCCAGUUUACAUUUCCCUCAACUGUGAGACCGUUUUCCUCACACAGGGCAAGUCCUUUUGAUGAGGGAUACAUUUCAUUGUUAAGUUGCAUCUUUAAAAAUGAAAAUUUGAACAUAUCAAAUUAGCCAGUUGAAUUCUUUGAGCUUAUCAAGCAUUUUUUGUCUUAUAGAAACUCUUAAUAUAACAAAAUGUGACAAACAUAUGUAAGUUUCUUUUCUACAUGGGGGUAUUAUAUGGAUAAGUCAAUCUCUGACUUUAUUGGUUCUAGGUUUCAUAUUUGGUCAACCCCAUAAAAAGAUCAUACACACUCUGCCUCUUGUAGUUCUUGUGUUCAUGGUCUUAUUUAUACAUUAAUACUUCUGGGUAGGGAGAGCUGGAGGUGCCCAGGCCACUUGUGUCUAGGCCUGGCAGUGCCAAUCUCUGGCCAGUCAAAUGUAAGUGGGAGUCUGCAUGGUUUCCAGGAAGGCUUCUACUUUGGAGUUGAGGGCCUAGUUUACAGUAAUAAAGCACUACAUUACUGGGGGCAAUGUAACAAAGAUGGCAAAGCUGGAAAGAGUACGGGUUCCUUAGGGCAGGGAUUGGCAAGUUUUUUCUGUAAAGGGACAGAUAGUAAAUAUCUUGGGCUUUGUAGGCCAUACAACCUCUGUCUACUCAACUCUGGUGUUGAAGCAUAGAAAUGGCCAUUGAGGAAAUGUAAAUGAGCAUCUUUGCAUUCCAAUAAAACUUUAUUCACGGGCCCUAAUAUUUAAACUUAAUGUAACUUGUCACAAAAUAUUCUUUUUUCCAACCAUUUAAAAUAGGUAAAGACCAUUCUUCAUUUUUGAGUUGUACAAAAGUAUAAUGAUUGGCCUGUGGGCUGUAGACUGUCAACUCACCUUAGGAUAUCAUUGAGCAGGUGGGCCAAUACUAGCAGAGACUUCUAAUUUAUGAGAAAUUGUAUCUCUAAUUAAGCCACUGUUCGUUUGGCUUUUUGAUUACUUGCAGUCAAAUACAUUCUUAUCUGAUACGGGUCUUUUUUUUUUUUUUUAAUAGCCCGCUGUUCUAACCUUUUAUUGACUAUUCGAACUUUCCUCCACCUUGAUUUGGGCACUAUUUUUUAAAUCACAUGUUAAAUUUCCUUAAGCCUAAUAAGUUUUUUCUAACAUUCUAUUCUAAUCCACUAAUCUUUGUUCAUUUUCAUGUCCAUAUUAACUUAAUUCCUAUAGUUUUAAUGUAUGCUUAGGAUUCUGAAAGAAUGUGUACCAUACACUAAGUUGUUUUUCUCAUGGAAGACGUCUGAAUGUCUAUAUCUUCCCACCCAUGAACAUGAUAUAACUUUAUAUUUAAUGGAGAAAAAGAUCUGAAUGAGUUCCCUCACUUUUAUUUCAUUUAAGCCAUGGCAAUUUCUACUUGGAUUAUUUCUUGGUGAUCUAGUUUACUGUUGUUAGUGUAAAUGGAACUGUUAACUGGAAUUACUUUUAUGGCAUCAGUCCACGUUACUCUUCCAAUUCUGUAAUGAAACCAUGUAGAUUCAGAGCAUUGUUUUUUGUCCAACAUGGAAGACCAACUCAGAGUUGAGUGCUUUCUGUCAUUGUACUUAGUCUUUGGAAGGUGCUACUGGGCAGUUUUUUGUUCUGUUUGAAUUAGGUGUUAUUAAAUGCUAGUGAGUCCUUAGACUUGACAUCAUCUGGAACAGUAAAAUGGUGUUAUGUACAACUAUUGGAAAGUGGAUUGAACCUGGUUGCUGAUACCGAUCUAAGUGGUUUGGAUUUGUGUAUAUUCUAAGCAUCAUGUUUUAUGUCAAUGGGAACCCAGAAUGGAGGCUCAAAAUAAGUUUAAUCUGCAUGUGCAGACAACUCCUAAAAGAUAAAGAAACAGAGGUAGUAAGUGGCAAGACCUGGGCAAGAGGAGAAUGCCAGAGCCUCAUCUUCAGACUUACAUUCCAACAAGAAUGGACUCAUGAUGACAUGCAUUUUGAGGAAGCAUACUUUGUGCUUUGGUACUAGUUCUCAAAGGGGCUGAGGUCUGAGAGAUAAACAGCCACCAAACCAGGUGGAAAGACGGUGCAGGCUGAGUGAAGCAGCACCCAUAAUGGCCUAGGGAGGAAAGAGUAGGAGAGGGCUGUUCAGCUAAGCAGAGAAAGCUCAAUAGAGCUGGCAUGUGGGGUUUGCGGUGGGAGGAGUUGAGUGGGUGGGCAGUUUUACUCUUCUGGGCAGAGUCCACAGCAUCAUGUGAAUUCAAAUACGUAAAUUGCUUUCCUUCAUGUAAGAUGAAAGAUCACUUCUCUUUGGUGACUCGAAUGUAUUAAUAAAAAGUAACGGGAAUAUCUACUAAAGCUGAAUACAUGCAUACCCUAUGUUCUGGCAAUUUCAUUUCUAGCCACAUAUUUUACCAAAAGAUAUAGCAGCACUACAUGUAAAAACCCCAAAUUGAAAACUACCCAAAUGCCCAUCACCAGUAGAAUACAUUGUGGCAUACUCACAUAGGAGAGUACUAUUUAACGAGGAGAAACAAAGUAGAACUCUAAAUGAACUGAUAAAUCCCACAGACAUGUUGAGGGAAAGAAGCUAGAUACAGGGUAAAACAUAGCUGUAUGAUUCUACUUAUGUAGAGAACAAAAAUUGGCAAAAGUAGAACGAACACUUCAAUUCCAUUUAUAUUAAAGAAUCCAGAGUGGUAAGAUUCAUAAAGACAAAGUAAAAUGGUGGUUGCCAGGAGCUAGAGGGAGAGAGGAAUAGGGAGAUAUUGCUGAAUGGGUAUUGAGUCUCAGUUAUGUGAGAUGAAAAGAGUUUUGGAGACGGAUGCUGGUGAUGGUUGUACAACAAUGGGAUUGCACUUAGUACGCUACUGAACUGUACACUUAAAAAUGGUUAAGAUGG
Gorilla gorilla gorilla (western lowland gorilla) is the source of this 5106-nucleotide RNA transcript. RefSeq lists it as uncharacterized. The record is from RefSeq and is a predicted model, not a curated record. The transcript is spliced from 3 exons. Lineage: Eukaryota; Metazoa; Chordata; Mammalia; Primates; Hominidae.